CAGAGUUAUGCCCUUCGGGGUAGACCUCCAACCCUUUGUUUACCAAACUUUUGUUGCUUUGGCGAGCCGUAAAGUUUAGGCUUUCCAUCGGUUUCGACUGAUGCGUUUGCUCGCCAGAGGAAAUUAAAACUCUGAAUUUUUAAUGUUGUCUGAGUCCCUAGCAAAAUAAAAUUA
This 174-nucleotide unclassified non-coding RNA is filed under the name uncultured fungus. RNAcentral's name for it is "sequence contains ITS1". Lineage: Eukaryota; Fungi. The record is from RNAcentral.